GUGCUCACUUUGGUAGCACGUCUUCUAAAUGUGAAGCAAUACAGAGAAGAUUAGUGUGGCCCUUGAACAAGGAUCACAUGAUGAUUUCUGAAGCAUUUCAUAUUUUA
Small nuclear RNA from Cricetulus griseus (Chinese hamster), 107 nucleotides. NCBI's taxonomy places the organism in Eukaryota, Metazoa, Chordata, Mammalia, Rodentia, Cricetidae. The record is from Ensembl.